CGCUAUCACUCCUACGGGGAGGCAGCAGUAGGGAAUCUUCCACAAUGGGCGCAAGCCUGAUGGAGCAACACCGCGUGAGUGAAGAAGGGUUUCGGCUCGUAAAGCUCUGUUGUUAAAGAAGAACACGUAUGAGAGUAACUGUUCAUACGUUGACGGUAUUUAACCAGAAAGUCACGGCUAACUACGUGCCAGCAGCCGCGGUAAUACGUAGGUGGCAAGCGUUAUCCGGAUUUAUUGGGCGUAAAGAGAGUGCAGGCGGUUUUCUAAGUCUGAUGUGAAAGCCUUCGGCUUAACCGGAGAAGUGCAUCGGAAACUGGAUAACAUGAGUGCAGAAGAGGGUAGUGGAACUCCAUGUGUAGCGGUGGAAUGCGUAGAUAUAUGGAAGAACACCAGUGGCGAAGGCGGCUACCUGGUCUGCAACUGACGCUGAGACUCGAAAGCAUGGGUAGCGAACAGGAUUAGAUACCCUGGUAG
RNAcentral lists this ribosomal RNA (474 nucleotides) under uncultured bacterium. RNAcentral's name for it is "bacterial SSU rRNA". It matches the Rfam family "Bacterial small subunit ribosomal RNA", at positions 328 to 793 of the family's 1533-position model. The record is from RNAcentral.